RNAcentral lists this transfer RNA (90 nucleotides) under Bacillus cereus. RNAcentral's name for it is "tRNA-Ser". It matches the Rfam family "tRNA". From Rfam's summary of the family: Transfer RNA (tRNA) molecules are approximately 80 nucleotides in length. Their secondary structure includes four short double-helical elements and three loops (D, anti-codon, and T loops). The record is from RNAcentral. RNAcentral also lists the same sequence under 2 other names. Lineage: Bacteria; Bacillati; Bacillota; Bacilli; Caryophanales; Bacillaceae.
GGAGGAGUACCCAAGUGGAUAAAAGGGGGCGGUCUUGAAAACCGCUAGGUCGGAAACGGUGCGAGGGUUCGAAUCCCUCUUCCUCCGCCA